Dermacentor albipictus is the source of this 1709-nucleotide long non-coding RNA. RefSeq lists it as uncharacterized. The record is from RefSeq and is a predicted model, not a curated record. Lineage: Eukaryota; Metazoa; Arthropoda; Arachnida; Ixodida; Ixodidae.
GUUGGGGAAUGCACUGGGACCCUGGUCAUGGAAAGGCGUUCCUCACCCCCCCCCCUCCCCCUCCUUGCUUCUCUUAUUUUUGUGUGUGUGUUAUUGCUUGUCCGUGGUUUCACUCUCACAUCUUGCCCCCUUCUUUCCGAACAGACACCUGUCUCAGACGCUGCUCCUUCCGUGACGAGCUGAUCCUGGCUUCGAACGGUAGCGGUUGAUGACCAUGUCGUUUCCCGGAGGCAAACGGGCCUGCUCCUGAAUAUACGACCGCGCCAUAACGGCAGCGGAGAGUACACGGCGUAUCAUGCGGGAGAAGGGGGCACGGGGAAGCAACCGCGGAGUAAGGUGUGGGUGCAGAACUUGGCGAGAAGGGGACGCGCCAUACUACCGCGGGCGUAGAAAGACUGCCGGGGUGGAGAGGAGGACGCGGCGCCGGGGUUCGGGCGAGGGAGUGGUCGCAGCCCUCGACGCACCGCGGACAUCACGGAUUUUUCGCAGCUGUGCGAUCGUAAAUAACGGCGCGAGCCGCCGGAGAGCUGCAGCCCGGACAGUUAUGCCGGCGGUCCGCUGACGAAUGACGUGUCCGCGGUGCCUUCCGACCCAUGGCCUGCGCGAGGUGUGUCGAACCGGAGACUAGCAGGGAAGACACGUCUGCGGGGAGUGCAAUGUAGUGUGGGUGCAUACGGGAACGGAUGCGGACUCCAUUCGCGUUCGACACCUUUCGGCUCGGAAGGACUCGGUGGGCGUUCGGCUACCAUCGGCCCGCUUCGGCAUCGAAAACCCCGGCCGGCACCCGUGCCGGAGCAUGGGGCAGAAGCGCUGCACUUGGAUCGUGCCCUGGAUCCGUGCUUCGAGAAGACGCGACUACGUUGAGCGCCAACGACCGAACGGCAGGCCGAGCUCCUCAAACGACACCUCUACGGACGGCAGUUGGAUAUCGCUGCCUACGGGACCCCCUUACGUGCACGUGCGAUAGACAUAGCCACACGAGUGGCUAUACAAGCGGCUAUCGCAGACACAUGUGGAUUGCGCUGGGGACCCCUUAGUGAGGAAACGCAAUAAUUUUUUUUUUCCAGGAAGGCGAGGUGGUAAGAUGAGGAAGCCAAUGUCGAAGAUUUUAACGAGAUAUAUAUAGGCUUAAACUCCCGAGACCCUAUGUGCAUCCCCGUGGCAGUUUUUUUGCCCUUUUCAAAACUCAUCUAGAAGUAAUAUCCAGAAAAAAAAUCUGGUCUAUAUAAUUUGCAGUGCCGCAGCCGGUAAAACGACGUGCCUUUCCGUCUGCUGUUGCGCUGUGCACGUCAUGGAUUACCAACUAUAGCCAGGUCUCACACCUUACUGCAAUAUAACUUGAAGGCAUCAUUUAUAAAUGAUUUAGUUAUCUCAUCGUUGCCACCCGUUUUUUUUUAAAGAAAAUGGAUAACACUUUGUGCAAGAGAAGCGAGUCAUCGCCGACGACGAAUGCCCGUGAUGUACAUAUAUAAUGAGAGGAGAGGGGGAGGGGACGCUGGUAAUCAGGAUUGGAGAGCCGGCACAACGAAUACCAAUGCGGUUAGCAUUAUCCCACGUGUUUAGGUAAACAAAAGUUUCUCAAUCGAAUAAAAUUGAUAGAUGGUCAAAAUUUUGUCCACGUUUACAUGGAGAUGUUGCAGUGCUCAUGUAUGCGGGCGACUUCGCUAAAACAGAAAAAAAAUAAAAAAAUACAUUUUUCAUCUUCGUAA